CAGCCGCCGCGGUAAUACGAAGGGGGCUAGCGUUGCUCGGAAUGACUGGGCGUAAAGGGCGCGUAGGCGGUCACGAUAGUCAGAUGUGAAAUUCCUGGGCUUAACCUGGGGACUGCAUUUGAUACUGUGUGGCUUGAGUGUGGAAGAGGGUCGUGGAAUUCCCAGUGUAGAGGUGAAACUCGUAGAUAUUGGGAAGAACACCGGUGGCGAAGGCGGCGACCUGGUCCUUGACUGACGCUGAGGCGCGAAAGCGUGGGGAGCAAACAGGAUUAGAGACCCCCGUAGUCCCUGUCUCUUAUAC
RNAcentral lists this ribosomal RNA (301 nucleotides) under uncultured bacterium. Its description in RNAcentral is "partial 16S ribosomal RNA". It matches the Rfam family "Bacterial small subunit ribosomal RNA", at positions 509 to 807 of the family's 1533-position model. The record is from RNAcentral.